This 1070-nucleotide long non-coding RNA is filed under the name Equus asinus (donkey). RNAcentral's name for it is "lncRNA (ENSEASG00005037956.1)". The record is from RNAcentral. Lineage: Eukaryota; Metazoa; Chordata; Mammalia; Perissodactyla; Equidae.
CUGUGUGCAGAGAGAGAUCUCUGGUGUCUGUUUCUCAUAACCACCAGUCCUGUCAGACAGGGCCCCACUCUUGUGACCUCAUUUAACCUUUAUUCUCUCCCUAAAGGCUUAUCUCUAAAUACAAUCGCAUUUGGGGUUAGGGUUAGGGGUUUAGACAUACAAAUUUUGGGGGACACAACUCAGUCCAUAACAGGUGUCUCCUGUGAUGUGUAUGUGUUUGGAAACUACCAAUUGGUCUUGGUUUCUGGAACCCCCUGACGAGCACAAUGCUCAGCACUGCCCCAAAUUCAUGUUCUCACCACACAAGCACAGCAGACAGGCAGCACCUGGCCACCAACUGCCCCUGAUGUCUCUUGGGCCAGGGAAAGGGGUCUGUCUAGGUUGCGGGGUCAUGGGCAACUGCUGCCCAGAUCGCAGCUGUGGCUCAGCUGCAGCAUGUGGGGGUCUGAGGAUCCCUCCCCUGACUUGACCCCAUGUCAGUUCAGGCUGCUAUAACAGAAUACCAUAAACUGGGUGGCUAAUAAAGAAUAGAAAUUUAUUUCUAUUCUACAGUUUUUUCUACAGAAAUUUAUUUCUAUUCUGCAGUUCUGGAGGCUGAGAAGACCAAGAUCAAGGUGCCAGCAAAUUGGGUGUCUGGCCUUAGCUCCAGAAGGAGGAAUGCUUCCACCAGGAGACACAACAGUGAUUCCACUGAACUGGAAGCUAAGACUUCCAUCUGGCCACUUUGGGCUCCUCAUGCCUCUGAAUCAACAGGCAAAGAAUAGAGUUAUGUGUUGUGUGAGGUGAUUGGUCCUGACUGCCAAGGAGAAAUUGGACUACUGUUGCACAAUGGAGGAGCCUGAUGUGGUCUAAAGGAUGCAUGAGCUACUUCAGACUCAACCAAGUAGUGGUCCUGAUGCUGCUGCUCUGCUGGAUGUGAUGUCACUGCUAGAGCAGGUUAGUAAGGCCUCAGGCACAAGGUACAUGACUGUAGAUUUGAUGACCGCAGUCUGUUUUAUUCAGUUAGAAAAGUGGAGGUGGAAUUUUUAGCAUGCAUGUGGAAGAAGCAACAACAUUUAUUUAUAGUUUAU